UAGGGAAUCUUCGGCAAUGGACGAAAGUCUGACCGAGCAACGCCGCGUGAGUGAAGAAGGUUUUCGGAUCGUAAAACUCUGUUGUCAGAGAAGAACAAGGACGUUAGUAACUGAACGUCCCCUGACGGUAUCUAACCAGAAAGCCACGGCUAACUACGUGCCAGCAGCCGCGGUAAUACGUAGGUGGCAAGCGUUGUCCGGAGUUAUUGGGCGUAAAGCGAGCGCAGGCGGUUUCUUAAGUCUGAUGUGAAAGCCCCCGGCUCAACCGGGGAGGGUCAUUGGAAACUGGGAGACUUGAGUGCAGAAGAGGAGAGUGGAAUUCCAGGUGUAGCGGUGAAAUGCGUAGAUAUAUGGAGGAACACCGGUGGCGAAGGCGGCUCUCUGGUCUGUAACUGACGCUGAGGCUCGAAAGCGUGGGGAGCAAACAGG
RNAcentral lists this ribosomal RNA (429 nucleotides) under Gemmatimonadota bacterium. RNAcentral's name for it is "Gemmatimonadetes bacterium partial 16S ribosomal RNA". It matches the Rfam family "Bacterial small subunit ribosomal RNA", at positions 355 to 776 of the family's 1533-position model. The record is from RNAcentral. Lineage: Bacteria; Pseudomonadati; Gemmatimonadota.